This 69-nucleotide transfer RNA is filed under the name Ictidomys tridecemlineatus (thirteen-lined ground squirrel). Its description in RNAcentral is "Spermophilus tridecemlineatus (thirteen-lined ground squirrel) tRNA". It matches the Rfam family "tRNA". Rfam says of the family: Transfer RNA (tRNA) molecules are approximately 80 nucleotides in length. Lineage: Eukaryota; Metazoa; Chordata; Mammalia; Rodentia; Sciuridae. The record is from Rfam by way of RNAcentral.
GGGGUUGUAGCUCAGUGGUAGAGCACUUGCUUAGCAUGUGUGAGGCACUGGGUUCAAUCCACAGCACCA